Molecule: ribosomal RNA, 217 nt
Filed under: uncultured bacterium
Lineage: Bacteria
Description: partial 16S ribosomal RNA
Rfam family: Bacterial small subunit ribosomal RNA
Source: RNAcentral
UACGAAGGGUGCAAACGUUGCUCGGAAUUAUUGGGCGUAAAGCGCGCGCAGGCGGUCCUUUAAGUCUGAUGUGAAAGCCCACGGCUCAACCGUGGAGGGUCAUUGGAAACUGGGGGACUUGAGUACAGAAGAGAAGAGUGGAAUUCCACGUGUAGCGGUGAAAUGCGCAGAUAUCAGGAGGAACACCGGUGGCGAAGGCGGGUCUCUGGGCCGAGUG